RNAcentral lists this ribosomal RNA (523 nucleotides) under uncultured bacterium. Its description in RNAcentral is "bacterial SSU rRNA". It matches the Rfam family "Bacterial small subunit ribosomal RNA", at positions 355 to 896 of the family's 1533-position model. The record is from RNAcentral.
UGGGGAAUCUUGCACAAUGGAGGAAACUCUGAUGCAGCGACGCCGCGUGAGCGAUGAAGCCCUUCGGGGUGUAAAGCUCUUUCGACGGGAACGAUAAUGACGGUACCCGAAGAAGAAGCUGCGGCUAACUACGUGCCAGCAGCCGCGGUAAUACGUAGGCAGCGAGCGUUGUUCGGAGUUACUGGGCGUAAAGGGUGUGUAGGCGGCUCUCCAAGUUUGGUGUGAAAUCUCCCGGCUCAACCGGGAGGGUGCGCCGAAAACUGGAAGGCUAGAGUGCGGGAUGGGAGAGUGGAAUUCCUGGUGUAGCGGUGAAAUGCGUAGAUAUCAGGAGGAACACCGGUGGUGUAGACGGCUCUCUGGACCGUAACUGACGCUGAGACACGAAAGCGUGGGUAGCAAACAGGAUUAGAUACCCUGGUAGUCCACGCCCUAAACGAUGCAUAUUUGGUGUAGGUCAUUCAGUUGAUCUGUGCCGGAGCUAACGCGUUAAAUAUGCCGCCUGGGGAAUACAGUCGCAAGGCUG